Molecule: long non-coding RNA, 626 nt
Filed under: Chlamydomonas reinhardtii
Lineage: Eukaryota; Viridiplantae; Chlorophyta; Chlorophyceae; Chlamydomonadales; Chlamydomonadaceae
Description: long non-coding RNA (CREI_LNC001082)
Source: RNAcentral
CAGGCCACCCUGCUGUACAUCCAGAUGUCCGACGCCACCCUGACCCUGGACUCCCUGACCGCUGAGUCCGGUGGCCAGCUCAAGAACCGCGUGCGCACCUGGAUCGCCGGCUCCAUCAUGACCGCCGCCGUCAACUGCUUCCUGAUCAUCGCCCUGGGCAUGACCGAGGCCCAGGUGGAGGCUAUCUCCGGCGAGAAGGCCACCGCUGUUUAAUGCGCCUGGUGCGUAGUGUUACGCGAGUGUGAGCAGCUGACCUGAUGAGCGUGACCCACUUUGCCGCUGCCAUUGUGCGGUGGCCUGACCUGACUGAGUGACAUCUAAAUUUGGGCUGUUUCUUAUUGCGCAUCCGCGAAUGACCUCUCGGACCAACUGACGGAAAAUAACGAGCGUGGUGGACAUCCUCCUGCGACACGAGCGUUGCGUGGCCACUUAACGUAGCGUGCGUGUCGAAGACGUUUAUACCCGGGGCUGAUGGAGGUCAUGCGGUGGCCCCAGGGCGGGAAGUACAUACGUGCUAGAUUGCUAUGUGCUAGCAAUUCAUGCUGAAUAAAUGAGGGAUUGAGGCGGUGGGCUGGCUAGUGGCCACACUACAGGAGUGUGCGCGCACGAGACGCGGCAAGCGGCAA